This is a non-coding RNA of Potamilus streckersoni, 82 nucleotides long. The record is from the annotation of a GenBank genome assembly. NCBI's taxonomy places the organism in Eukaryota, Metazoa, Mollusca, Bivalvia, Unionida, Unionidae.
GGUUGCUUCCCCGAGUGAUGAAAGGCGCUGGUUUUAGGCACCAGAUUCUUCGGAGGCGUGGGUUUAAAUCCCACAGCUGUCA